AGGCGCUGAGCGGCUGGGCACGGGCGGGGCUGCUGGCCCUGCUGGCGGCGCUGGCGGUCGUGCCGCUGCGGUACCUGC
RNAcentral lists this transfer RNA (78 nucleotides) under Deinococcus ficus. RNAcentral describes it as "tRNA-Ser". The record is from RNAcentral. Lineage: Bacteria; Thermotogati; Deinococcota; Deinococci; Deinococcales; Deinococcaceae.